Molecule: ribosomal RNA, 257 nt
Filed under: uncultured bacterium
Lineage: Bacteria
Description: partial 16S ribosomal RNA
Rfam family: Bacterial small subunit ribosomal RNA
Source: RNAcentral
CGCACGGGUGAGUAACACGUAUGCAACCUGCCUGCCACAGCCGGAUAAUCGGGAGAAAUUCCGUCUAAUACGGCAUAAUGCAUCGACGGGACAUCCUGUUGGUGCCAAAGGUUAAUUCCGGUGGCGGAUGGGCAUGCGUCGCAUUAGUUAGUUGGCGGUGUAACGGACCACCAAGACGACGAUGCGUAGGGGUUCUGAGAGGAAGGUCCCCCACACUGGUACUGAGGCACGGACCAGACUCCUACGGGAGGCAGCAG